Long non-coding RNA from Cebus imitator (Panamanian white-faced capuchin), 5474 nucleotides. RefSeq lists it as uncharacterized. The record is from RefSeq and is a predicted model, not a curated record. The transcript is spliced from 3 exons. Lineage: Eukaryota; Metazoa; Chordata; Mammalia; Primates; Cebidae.
AGAUGUGAUGUUUGUUUCGAGCUCUCGCCUUGUGCACGGUUAAAGUCGCGGCGGCAGAAUUAUCGGAAGAUUCCUGCAGGGGAGAGAAGAGAGACGAGUCAGCUUGGGCGCCGGCGGAGCCCGGACUCGCGGCACCUGGGGAAGGAAAACACGCCCCGACACACGCGCCUCUGCGGGCGCCAAAAAUAACCCGCGCAGGCCGGGCGCCCACCCCGGGGCAACCCGCGCCCACCUCAGGAGCCCCAGGCACCCACCCCGAGGAUCCCACUUGCAGCGCUACAGCCAGCUCCUUCUCUGGGCCUCCCGCACCCACUUAAGGCAGAGUGACUGACCUAAAAGUCCACGCUGGUCGUGUGGCUUCCGUUCGCAAAUAUCUCACCUGGACCUCCCUCCCUGGAGCCAGACAAGACCCAAACCUCCGAAGCGAAUGCAGUCCCUGCAGGGCGAGAAGGAGAAACUGAUAGUCCGCAGGGGGGUGAACUUAAGGCCCUUGCUUUCAUUAGCACAGUGUUGUAACUGCCAAGGAGCCUCUGAGGAAAUGGGCUUUACGUACAUAUACAUACUCGCCCUUGCCCCUGAACCAACAUCAAAUACUUUCAUGUUAUUCUUGGGGGCGUUUUAAUUCUUCAGAUCUUCUGGAUUCGUGUUUUUGUAACCCAUCAGACAAGCUUUUGUACAUCUCUUUCCAGCCUAGGCCUACACACUAACAGAAAUAGUUUUACAUCGAAGGACAGUGCUUUAGUAUUGUAUUCAGUCUCUUUUCUUUCUUUUUUCUAGUUGUGUUUCAAAAUGUUUUUUCUAUCUUGUGAUAGUUUUGCAGAAAAAAAUAUUGAAAUAAUUCAAAUCAGGUUCUUAAUCUGCUUUAUUAAAUUAAAGUUCUCUAACUUUGAUAUUUUGAAUAAACACGCAGAAGUGUCUCUGCCUUUUCUGUUAGUAUCUAAUCUUCCCUGCAAUUACCAGUCACUAGUAAAAUGCUAUGACAGUCAUAGAUCCUGUGGCUCUCACUGUGAGUUUUCUGGGCUGAGUAGGGACUUUCUGAGGUUUAACCCCCAGGAUACUUUUUAUAGAAGCACCAGCUGAUUCACCAAUGCCCUUCAAAAUGAGCACCUAUCCAUCACUCUCUAGACUCUCCCAACAGGUCAAACCAGGGAGCUUCGUUGAAAUAGACUUGGCAUUAAAUUAAAAUGUUUCCCAAAGCAUCUUGGCAGACCUGUAACUAAUGAUGCCAGAGGCCCAAGGCCUGUGCCAGGUUCCUUUUUAUCCCCAUAAGUGCUUGUCUUCCACAAGCCGCUGGUCACACGCCCGCUGAUGUUGUAGCAGCAUUUCUUCAUCCCACAAACAGCCCAACUGUAGGUACCAUAUCUCAGACAUGGUGAAGGGAAGCAGCAUGUUCGGCUGACAUGUGCAAUACUUGGCUCCCAACAGGCUUUUUAAUAACCUAAACUCAGAUUUUUUUUUUUUUUUCAUCACAAAUAGCGCAGUAAGUAAUUGUUUUUCCUCAUUCCUGCUUGUCUCUCUGCAGUUACUAAAUGGUUGCUUUUCAUUCCUCAUAUUCCAUGAGCAAUAUUAUUGAAGAAAUUGUAAAUAUUUUCCCAAAAUUCUUGCUGAAGUGUUUUCAUGGCAUUGUGAAAUUCAUAGAAGUUGGAGAUAUAAAAACAGCCAAAAUACCAUAGUCAUUCCUUAGCAAAUAUUGUCUAAUGGUUCCCUCAGACUACAUUUCAGAGCAGGACAAUAAGAUAGGCAAGACAUUAAUAAAAUGCCCAUUCUAAGUAGGUCCAUGAUGCUUAUGCCAAUUUAUUUUAUCUACAUGCUAAUGAGUAAUCUGUUCAUAAUGUCUAAAGUCAGUAGAUACCUUUAAAAUCUCAUUCUAUCAUGCCAGCAACAUAUGGCUUCAUCGCUUUUAAAUUUUCUUCAUAUUUCAGUCCAUCUCAGAUUUUAAUCAUUUGUCACUCUUCACCAAACUGUCUUCUAUUUGCAUCAUCAAUUUAAUCCCCAGAACUUGAACUAUUCAGACUCCCUGUUCCUUAAGAAUCUUCCUUUCGUCUCUCAAAAUAACACUGUCUCAAUUUACUGACUUCUUGCCAUCAUUUAUGGCCUCAUAGGUUAUGAAUUCAUAUCUAGUUUCCAGUUCACAGGCUCCAAAUAUUAGGACUCUCCAACUUUUUUUCUGAAUCACUGAGUACCUGGCCUUUAGAUUAUUUUUUUUCCUUAAUAUAUUAUGACAAUUUUCAUUUCCCAAACCUCAAUCUCAUUUUAUUUCCUCUGUUUCUCCAAAGAUGCAGUUCAACCUCUGAGCCUUCAUAUUCAACUGCUGUUCAUAUGCUUAACAUAAAUGCUAACUAGAGCAGAAAGUAGAUGACCAAAAUGCUUUAAGGAAAUUGCAGAUUAUAUCAAUGUACUGGUCCACACUGGCUACUCAUUUGCUUCCUGGGUCAAUCCAGGGGAUUGAUUUUAAUCUAUUAUGCUCCUACAGCUUAGAUUAUAUUUAUUUUAUCAUGAUCCUCAACAACAAGAAAUAUGUAGCGAUUGAUUGCCUUUUUUCCUGAGCACUAAUGUGGCAAGUUAGACCUGCCAAAAGCUUUCAUUUCCAUAUUUUUUUUCCUCUGACACUAAAGAUCCUACACCCAUUUUCCUUAGAUCCAGCUUCCACAAGUGUAUAUGGCUGCCAAGAAGUUAGGCACUCAGGGAAUUACAUCUAUGCUUUCCAGCCACUGAGGAACUACUCUUUGAGUUCAUUAAGUUUUUUCAGGGGCUAUUGGUAGCAUUUUGAGGGAAUCUACUAAUUAUUGGGAAUUCGAUAAGAUUAUUCAGUUAGCAAAAGGAUACAAUAUGCUAGACUAAUGUGAGUCCCUCAAAAAUAACUUAUUACACUGGUUUUAUAAAUUCUCUCUCAUGUAUUUGAUUAUACAUCUACCAUUAUUUUAUUACAGGAGUCAUUGCAAACUCAAAUGCGUAUGGGGGCCAGGUAGGUAAUGUAAUGCAUGAAGUUGGAGGAUUUGCUUCAUAAUAGCAUCACAGUGUAUGAUUUUCAACAAUGACAUCCUUUGCAUAUCAAAUACAGAGUAAUAGUCUUCCUAAUUCAUUUCUGGUUUUCUAAUUUUGAUAGGGUCUUGUCACAAGAAACAUUUGACUUUCCUUUUAACUCUAAAAAAGAUGUGUGAACAUACUGAUAAAUAGCAACUGACACCUGGCCAGGUGUAAUGGGGCAACACGGGGUGGUAGACUCAGGUGAUCUGGUGAUCUGGUGAGGAAUCUUACUGCUACCAUGAGGGAGUCUUGGCUCAGUGCUGCCAAGACCAUCUUAUUUUUCUAGAAAAGCCGGAAAUAUGGAACAUAAAACUUGCUAUUUUGUUAGUUCCCGCUCUUAAGGGAAAGACAUCCACAAAUUGAGGUCUUCACGUAUUGUUCUUUAUGAAGUCUACAGAGAGGUCUGUUUUUUCCUAUCCCACCUCCAAAUGGCGUGAUAAGUAAACCUUAGCAAAUGCCUUCCAAAUUCUGCAUUUCUUUGGGUCUUGUCAAUAUGUUGUUCAUGGACAGAUUUAUUUUCAUGAGUUUCAAGAAGUCAGAUAUCUGAUGACCACAUCAUUUUACACAUCCCAAUAUGUGAUGUGUUGCUCCCAACCUAUUUCUCUUCAUCUACCCACUCCCACAUCCCAACCCCAGGAAUAUUUCAUCUCUGAAAUCUGAAACUUGGAAACUCAUUGUCUACCCAGAAAUUCUGCCCUUUCACUGGUCCCAUUAUCUUACUUCCCCUAAACCCACCUGCCAGUCUUAGCAAGACCUGUACUUUCUCUAACCCUUCCCAAUCCCUUAGUCUGUAAGUACCCCUUUUUAGACCUUUUUCCCCUACCUAGCCUUGGCCUCAUGACCAAGACCUUCAAUGCAACCACAUUCUCACUAGCAUCCUAGACCCCUCACAUUCUUGUCCUUCUGCUGUGCCCACCUUGCCAAUCUACAGCUUUGCAUAAAUGUAACCAUGGCUUUCUCUGUGCAUGCCCCCUGACUGCCAGUCUAAUGUGGAAAAAAAUCAUAUAGCCAGGCUGUAUUGUAAGUAUAUGAUUUCCAUCUUCAGCAGAGCCUCUGGUAUAUUGGGCAAUGUUUUACCCUUUGCUAAUUGGCAUAAAUCUUUAUUCUCCAAACUGUUACUAUCCAAAUCCCUACUAACCCACUGGCCCUCAAUCUCAGCAGUUGUCCAAGGAUUCUACUUCACAAAAUGCACCAAGAAAUAAACUGCUUUAACUUUUCUUCCACGUCACUUACCCUUACUUCAUUCACCCACCACCCUUGCAGUCUAAGGCUAACCCUGAAUCAGAAACCAUCUAUGUAUGUUUUCUACGAUUAUUGGACUCUUCUGCUCCAAUGUGAUUUAUCUUUUGGGUCCAAGGGGUUUUGUUACCCUCUGGAUGGCAGAAGCUGGAAUGGGGUCUUCCCUGAAGGAAUGGCUAAUCCCAACUUCAAUCAUCCAAGGACACAAAGGAGUCAGGGAUUUGGAAGACAGCCUUAGACCACCUUCUCUCAGGAAUGGUGUCUUGAGUCUUCAUGGGUGCUCCAAGGCAGUGAGGAGGAAAAGAAUAGGGCCCCCAGGAGCAAGGAGGAGAAUAAAUUGCUUUCAACAGAACCCCAUAAGGCUCAGCCUGUGGGUUCAGAGGAUAGGGACAUUGGGUUUAAAUGUGCUUUUUAUGGUGUGUUUUCCCCAAGUUGUUAAUAAAGAGGGGUUAGGUAUUAAUAGCUCCUCUCAGUUGUACCAUUAUGGAUAAAGUGAUGGUCUCUGAAAGAAGGAGGAAGGGGAAAGUAAGACCCUGAGUUAAAGAGGCAAGUGGUGAGGGGAGUAGACCAACCCCUCAGGGAGCUUCUCUUCGUAAACCUCUCAGCGCUGAGGCAGUUCUUCCACCUCUUCCGCCUUGCUUUGUCACAUCUCUUGGUCCAUUCUCUAUCCAUUCUUGCUUUCCUUCCACAUAAAAAUACAUUCUAGACAUCCCUUCCUAAAAAUUUUUUCCUCGACUCUCUUUCCUUCUCAAGCUACACUUUCUCACUCUCCUUGCUCCUUACACUGAAAUUUCGGUCAAAAAAGAAACUAUUUUCUGUUUGAUGUUCACCAUUCUUUUUGUUGCCAGCCUAUUGUAACUGGCUUCCAUCCCCUUCUGCAGAAACUGUCCUCCCAAAGAUCAUGGUUGAAAUCCUAAUCAACAAACUCAAUGGCUACUUUUAAAAAAAAAAAUACUUUAAGUUCUGGGGUACAUGUGCAGAAGCUGCACGUUUGUUACGUAGGAAUACACAUGUGAUGGUGGUUGGCUGCAUCUAUCACCCCGCCAUCGACAUUAGGUAUUUCUCCUAAUGCUAUUCUCCCCUAGACUCCCACCCCCCGAUAGGCCUCAGUGUGUGAUGUUCCCCUCCCUGUGUCGAUGUGUUCUCAUUGUUCAACUCCCACUUAUGAGUGAGAACAUGCAGUGUUUGGUUUUCUGUUCUUGUGUUAG